GCUGGCUGAUAGCUCAGUUGGUUAGAGCUUGGUGUUGAUAACGCCAAGGUUGCAAGUUCGAUCCCCGUAUGGGUUGACUGCA
Molecule: non-coding RNA, 82 nt
Organism: Podarcis lilfordi (Lilford's wall lizard)
Lineage: Eukaryota; Metazoa; Chordata; Lepidosauria; Squamata; Lacertidae
Source: the annotation of a GenBank genome assembly